AGGAUAAACGCUGGCGGCGUGCCUAACGACAUGCAAGUCGAACGUCUCUUCUUUCGGGAAGAGGAGUGGCGGACGGGUGAGGAACACGUGGGAACCUGCCCUUCAGUGAGGAAUACCGGCGAGAAAUCGCCGACAAGACCGCAUAGCCCUCUCUGGUGAGAGCCAGAGAAGGAAAGCCUCGCAAGAGGCGCUGGAGGAGGGGCCUGCGUCCGAUUAGCUAGUUGGUGGGGUAAGAGCCUACCAAGGCGUCGAUCGGUAGCUGGUCUGAGAGGACGAUCAGCCACACUGGGAUUGAGAACGGCCCAGACUCCUACGGGGGGCAGCAGUGAGGAAUUUUCGGCAAUGGGGGAAACCCUGACCGAGCAACGCCGCGUGCAGGAAGACGGCCUUCGGGUUGUAAACUGCUUUCUUUGGACGAGCAAGGACGGUACCAGAGGAAUCGAGCCCGGCUCACUACGUGCCAGCAGCCGC
This 471-nucleotide ribosomal RNA is filed under the name uncultured bacterium. Its description in RNAcentral is "SSU rRNA". It matches the Rfam family "Bacterial small subunit ribosomal RNA", at positions 26 to 518 of the family's 1533-position model. The record is from RNAcentral.